Molecule: long non-coding RNA, 414 nt
Filed under: Homo sapiens (human)
Lineage: Eukaryota; Metazoa; Chordata; Mammalia; Primates; Hominidae
Description: HSALNT0152773
Source: RNAcentral
GCAAGGUGUGGUCCUGGAAUAGCCAUGGUGGAGUACUUGAGGAGGGUGGAUCCUAGACAGAUGGAUUAGAUUUCAUUCCCCACCCCCCAGGUCAAAAAAGACCAUAAACAAAGUUGAAAACCAAAUGACAAGUGAAGAAAAAAGUUGGUAAUUAUGAUCAACAAAAGAUCACUAAAAACACGUAUCAGUAAGAAGAUAAAUGCUAUAAUGGAAAAAUAGGCAACAGAUUUGAACAGGCAAGCCAGAAAUAAACAAAUAGAUUAAGCAGGAAAAAGUAUUCAGCAUUACUACUAAUCAAAAAUAUUAAAAAAAAAAAUAGGGUAGCAUUUCUUUUGCCUUUUAUUUGGACCAACAUUAAAAAUAUUGAUGAUAAAAAAUACUGAUAGAACUCAGUGAGGCUAUGGAUAAAAUGGC